This 253-nucleotide ribosomal RNA is filed under the name uncultured bacterium. Its description in RNAcentral is "partial 16S ribosomal RNA". It matches the Rfam family "Bacterial small subunit ribosomal RNA", at positions 524 to 776 of the family's 1533-position model. The record is from RNAcentral.
UACAGAGGCCUCAAGCGUUAGGCGGAAUCACUAGGCUUAAAGCGUGCGUAGUCGGUUAUCUAAGUCGGGUGUGAAAUCCCCGGGCUCAACCUGGGAAUUGCAUUCGAUACUGGAUAGCUAGAGUUCGGCAGAGGGAAGCGGAAUUUCUGGUGUAGCGGUGAAAUGCGCAGAUAUCAGGAGGAACACCGGUGGCGAAGGCGGGUCUCUGGGCCGAUACUGACGCUGAGGAGCGAAAGCGUGGGGAGCAAACAGG